RNAcentral lists this unclassified non-coding RNA (253 nucleotides) under plant metagenome. RNAcentral describes it as "partial contains small subunit ribosomal RNA, internal transcribed spacer 1, and 5.8S ribosomal RNA". The record is from RNAcentral.
UUUCCGUAGGUGAACCUGCGGAAGGAUCAUUACUGAGUUUUGAAUCAAGAUGUUCUGUUCUUUCGGGGCAAGUGAACGCUUCUCUCAAUCCAUCUUACACCUGUGCACCUAUCGGGGAAGACUUGGACCUAAGUUGGGUCACGACGGCGAUCUACAGUCUCCUCUUCAUACCACAUAACAGUUUUAGAAAGUCUUUUUUGCUUGAUGCAAACUUAAAUAAAUACAACUUUCAGCAACGGAUCUCUUGGCUCUC